GAAAGAUUUUUCGGUUGGGGAUGGGCUCGCGGCCUAUCAGCUUGUUGGUGAGGUAAUGGCUCACCAAGGCGUCGACGGGUAGCCGGCCUGAGAGGGUGACCGGCCACACUGGGACUGAGACACGGCCCAGACUCCUACGGGAGGCAGCAGUGGGGAAUAUUGCACAAUGGGCGGAAGCCUGAUGCAGCAACGCCGCGUGAGGGAUGACGGCCUUCGGGUUGUAAACCUCUUUUAGCAGGGAAGAAGCGAAAGUGACGGUACCUGCAGAAAAAGCGCCGGCUAACUACGUGCCAGCAGCCGCGGUAAUACGUAGGGCGCAAGCGUUAUCCGGAAUUAUUGGGCGUAAAGAGCUCGUAGGCGGUUUGUCGCGUCUGCUGUGAAAUCCCGAGGCUCAACCUCGGGCCUGCAGUGGGUACGGGCAGACUAGAGUGCGGUAGGGGAGAUUGGAAUUCCUGGUGUAGCGGUGGAAUGCGCAGAUAUCAGGAGGAACACCGAUGGCGAAGGCAGAUCUCUGGGCCGUAACUGACGCUGAGGAGCGAAAGGGUGGGGAGCAAACAGGCUUAGAUACCCUGGUAGUCCACCCCGUAAACGUUGGGAACUAGUUGUGGGGUCCAUUCCACGGAUUCCGUGACGCAGCUAACGCAUUAAGUUCCCCGCCUGGGGAGUACGGCCGCAAGGCUAAAACUCAAAGGAAUUGACGGGGACCCGCACAAGCGGCGGAGCAUGCGGAUUAAUUCGAUGCAACGCGAAGAACCUUACCAAGGCUUGACAUAUACGAGAACGGGCCAGAAAUGGUCAACUCUUUGGACACUCGUAAACAGGUGGUGCAUGGUUGUCGUCAGCUCGUGUCGUGAGAUGUUGGGUUAAGUCCCGCAACGAGCGCAACCCUCGUUCUAUGUUGCCAGCACGUAAUGGUGGGAACUCAUGGGAUACUGCCGGGGUCAACUCGGAGGAAGGUGGGGAUGACGUCAAAUCAUCAUGCCCCUUAUGUCUUGGGCUUCACGCAUGCUACAAUGGCCGGUACAAAGGGCUGCAAUACCGUGAGGUGGAGCGAAUCCCAAAAAGCCGGUCCCAGUUCGGAUUGAGGUCUGCAACUCGACCUCAUGAAGUCGGAGUCGCUAGUAAUCGCAGAUCAGCAACGCUGCGGUGAAUACGUUCCCGGGUCUUGUACACACCGCCCGUCAAGUCAUGAAAGUCGGUAACACCUGAAGCCGGUGGCCUAACCCUUGUGGAGGGAGCCGUCGAAG
Molecule: ribosomal RNA, 1247 nt
Filed under: Microbacterium paraoxydans
Lineage: Bacteria; Bacillati; Actinomycetota; Actinomycetes; Micrococcales; Microbacteriaceae
Description: bacterial SSU rRNA
Rfam family: Bacterial small subunit ribosomal RNA
Source: RNAcentral